RNAcentral lists this ribosomal RNA (506 nucleotides) under uncultured bacterium. Its description in RNAcentral is "partial 16S ribosomal RNA". It matches the Rfam family "Bacterial small subunit ribosomal RNA", at positions 29 to 523 of the family's 1533-position model. The record is from RNAcentral.
AGUGAACGCUGGCGGUAGGCCUAACACAUGCAAGUCGAACGGCAGCACAGGAGAGCUUGCUCUCUGGGUGGCGAGUGGCGGACGGGUGAGGAAUACAUCGGAAUCUACUCUGUCGUGGGGGAUAACGUAGGGAAACUUACGCUAAUACCGCAUACGACCUACGGGUGAAAGCAGGGGAUCUUCGGACCUUGCGCGAUUGAGUGAGCCGAUGUCGGAUUAGCUAGUUGGCGGGGUAAAGGCCCACCAAGGCGGCGAUCCGUAGCUGGUCUGAGAGGAUGAUCAGCCACACUGGAACUGAAACACGGUCCAGACUCCUACGGGAGGCAGCAGUGGGGAAUAUUGGACAAUGGGCGCAAGCCUGAUCCAGCCAUACCGCGUGGGUGAAGAAGGCCUUCGGGUUGUAAAGCCCUUUUGUUGGGAAAGAAAUCCAGCUGGCUAAUACCCGGUUGGGAUGACGGUACCCAAAGAAUAAGCACCGGCUAACUUCGUGCCAGCAGCCGCGGUAA